CAACUGUAAUUUAACACACGACUCAUGAACUGACACUGAAUGAAAAAUAAAAACUAGCCAAACGUAUAAAUUGUGCACUUAACAACGAGUGGUAAACAAAUAACGUGUUUAAUAACCUAACAUUAUUAAAGCUAAACUUGAAUCUUGAAUGUUGACCUUGCCCACGAGAGGUAUCCUUUCUUGAUUGCUUAAUUAUGAAUCAUCGAAAAUUUUGGUAAUUAUUUAUAAACUGAUGAAAUCCAAAAAUACUAGGAAUUCCCAAUAAAAGUUGCCCAAUUAGACCCGUAAACUAAAAAAGCCGUAACCAGUGGAUGUCUAUUGGAAUGGACUACUGUAAUUUGUCCUAUCGCAUCACGAUCACACAAUUCAACCUUGCCCAAUACAAACUGUGUCUCUUUUGCCGUCGACGUGAAGAUAAACUGUAAUUAUUUAAAAACAAAAUAUAAACUACACAAGCUAAAAA
Diabrotica virgifera virgifera (western corn rootworm) is the source of this 463-nucleotide long non-coding RNA. RefSeq lists it as uncharacterized. NCBI's taxonomy places the organism in Eukaryota, Metazoa, Arthropoda, Insecta, Coleoptera, Chrysomelidae. The transcript has 2 exons. The record is from RefSeq and is a predicted model, not a curated record.